This 496-nucleotide ribosomal RNA is filed under the name uncultured bacterium. RNAcentral describes it as "partial 16S ribosomal RNA". It matches the Rfam family "Bacterial small subunit ribosomal RNA", at positions 28 to 506 of the family's 1533-position model. The record is from RNAcentral.
GAUGAACGCUGGCGGCGUGCCUAAUACAUGCAAGUCGAGCGAACGGACGAGAAGCUUGCUUCUCUGAUGUUAGCGGCGGACGGGUGAGUAACACGUGGAUAACCUACCUAUAAGACUGGGAUAACUUCGGGAAACCGGAGCUAAUACCGGAUGAUAUUUUGAACCGCAUGGUUCAAAAGUGAAAGACGGUCUUGCUGUCACUUAUAGAUGGAUCCGCGCUGCAUUAGCUAGUUGGUAAGGUAACGGCUUACCAAGGCAACGAUGCAUAGCCGACCUGAGAGGUGGAUCGGCCACACUGAAACUGGGACACGGUCCAGACUCCUAGGGGAGGCAGCAGUAGGAAAUCUUCGGCAAGGGGCGAAGGCCUGACGGAGCAACGCCGCUGGAGGGAUGAAGGUUUUCGGAUCGUAAAACUCUGUUAUUGGGGAAGAACAUAUGUGUAAGAAACGGGGCAAACCUGGACGUAACUAAUUCAGAAAGCCACGGCUAAUUACGU